This 460-nucleotide ribosomal RNA is filed under the name uncultured bacterium. RNAcentral's name for it is "partial 16S ribosomal RNA". It matches the Rfam family "Bacterial small subunit ribosomal RNA", at positions 338 to 795 of the family's 1533-position model. The record is from RNAcentral.
CCUACGGGUGGCAGCAGUGAGGAAUAUUGGUCAAUGGACGCAAGUCUGAACCAGCCAUGCCGCGUGCAGGAAGACGGCUCUAUGAGUUGUACACUGCUUUUGUACGAGGGUAAACGCAGAUACGCGUAUCUGUCUGAAAGUAUCGUACGAAUAAGGAUCGGCUAACUCCGUGCCAGCAGCCGCGGUAAUACGGAGGAUUCAAGCGUUAUCCGGAUUUAUUGGGUUUAAAGGGUGCGUAGGCGGUCGGAUAAGUUAGAGGUGAAAUCCCGAGGCUCAACUUCGGAAUUGCCUCUGAUACUGUUCGGCUAGAGAGUAGUUGCGGUAGGCGGAAUGUACGGUGUAGCGGUGAAAUGCUUAGAGAUCAUACAGAACACCGAUUGCGAAGGCAGCCUACCAAGCUACUUCUGACGUUGAGGCACGAAAGCGUGGGGAGCAAACAGGAUUAGAUACCCUAGUAGUC